AUGGCUCAGAACGAACGCUGGCGGCGCGUCUUAAGCAUGCAAGUCGAACGGCAAGAGGUAGCAAUACCUCCUAGAGUGGCGGACUGGUGAGUAACACGUGGGUGACAUACCCUUCAGAUGGGGAUAGCUAUUAGAAAUAGUAGAUAAUACCGAAUACGAGCACAGGGGUUAGAGAUCUGUGAGGAAAGGAGCUAAGGCUCCGCUGAAGGAAUGGCCUGCGGCCCAUUAGCUAGUUGGUGAGGUAAGAGCCCACCAAGGCGAUGAUGGGUAUCCGGCCUUAGAGGGUGAACGGACACAUUGGGACUGAGAUACGGCCCAGACUCCUACGGGAGGCAGCAGCUAAGAAUAUUCCGCAAUGGACGAAAGUCUGACGGAGCGACGCCGCCGUGGAUGAAGAAGGCCGGAAGGUUGUAAAAUCCUUUUGAAACUGAAGAAUAAGCGUUGUAGGGAAUGACAGCGUGGUGACAGUAGGUUUUGAAUAAGCAACGGCUAAUUACGUGCCAGCCGCCGC
This 511-nucleotide ribosomal RNA is filed under the name uncultured bacterium. RNAcentral's name for it is "bacterial SSU rRNA". It matches the Rfam family "Bacterial small subunit ribosomal RNA", at positions 19 to 518 of the family's 1533-position model. The record is from RNAcentral.